Schizosaccharomyces pombe (fission yeast) is the source of this 241-nucleotide non-coding RNA. The record is from the annotation of a GenBank genome assembly. NCBI's taxonomy places the organism in Eukaryota, Fungi, Ascomycota, Schizosaccharomycetes, Schizosaccharomycetales, Schizosaccharomycetaceae.
UUUACUCUCCUUUGCCUGUUUAUUCUGUGAAGAUUUUUUUUUUGUAGAUGACUUUCUGUGAGCAUCUAAGUAAUCAUCAUUAAGUUCAGAAGACUUACUAUCACCUUCUUCUGUAAUCUUCCGGUUUUCAUAACCAUUUUUUCCUCGAGAGAUCCUAGCAAAUUUUCUUUUUUCACGAUGAGGUAGAUUAUGAUUUCGCUUUCCCCGCCUAGCACUCGAAUCUAUCAAUUUGGUUAAAUAU